GUAGGUGGCAAGCGUUGUCCGGGAAUUAUUGGGGCGUAAAGCGCGCGCAGGCGGUUCUUUAAGUCUGAUGUGAAAGCCCACGGGCUCAACCGUGGAGGGUCAUUGGAAACUGGAGAACUUGAGUACAGAAGAGGAAAGCGGAAUUCCACGUGUAGCGGUGAAAUGCGUAGAGAUGUGGAGGAACACCAGUGGCGAAGGCGGCUUUCUGGUCUGUAACUGACGCUGAGGCGCGGAAGCGUGGGGAGCAAACAGGAUUAGAUACCCUGGUAGUCCACGCCGUAAACGAUGAGUGCUAAGUGUUAGGGGGUUUCCGCCCCUUAGUGCUGCAGCUAACGCAUUAAGCACUCCGCCUGGGGAGUACGGCCGCAAAGGCUG
RNAcentral lists this ribosomal RNA (375 nucleotides) under uncultured organism. Its description in RNAcentral is "partial 16S ribosomal RNA". It matches the Rfam family "Bacterial small subunit ribosomal RNA", at positions 527 to 896 of the family's 1533-position model. The record is from RNAcentral.